AAGUGGGAAACGAUGUGGGAAGGCCCAGACAGCCAGGAUGUUGGCUUAGAAGCAGCCAUCAUUUAAAGAAAGCGUAAUAGCUCACUGGUCGAGUCGGCCUGCGCGGAAGAUGUAACGGGGCUAAACCAUGCACCGAAGCUGCGGCAGCGACACUAUGUGUUGUUGGGUAGGGGAGCGUUCUGUAAGCCUGCGAAGGUGUACUGUGAGGUAUGCUGGAGGUAUCAGAAGUGCGAAUGCUGACAUAAGUAACGAUAAAGCGGGUGAAAAGCCCGCUCGCCGGAAGACCAAGGGUUCCUGUCCAACGUUAAUCGGGGCAGGGUGAGUCGACCCCUAAGGCGAGGCCGAAAGGCGUAGUCGAUGGGAAACAGGUUAAUAUUCCUGUACUUGGUGUUACUGCGAAGGGGGGACGGAGAAGGCUAUGUUGGCCGGGCGACGGUUGUC
This 441-nucleotide ribosomal RNA is filed under the name Escherichia coli. RNAcentral's name for it is "partial 23S ribosomal RNA". It matches the Rfam family "Bacterial large subunit ribosomal RNA", at positions 1061 to 1506 of the family's 2925-position model. The record is from RNAcentral. Lineage: Bacteria; Pseudomonadati; Pseudomonadota; Gammaproteobacteria; Enterobacterales; Enterobacteriaceae.